AGCAGACAUAACUUCAGUCAGACAUUUGUUUUUCACCAUCCCCUUCUGACCCCCUUGCUCAGUAGACCACAAUAAAACUCUAAACAUAAACAACUAAUCUUACCUAGCGGGAGACUACUAAACUGAAAUACAAUGAGAGCUGUGUCUUAUGUGGAACGUCUUGAGUUUGAUUUCCCUGGAUCAGUUUUCAAAAAUGCAUUUUUGUUUGGUGAUGUUGAUAAUGACAAAUGUGAAGAACUUGUUGUGGGUAACGAAAAUGGAGAUGUGUACAUUUACAAAGGCAGCGCUAGUAAAUGUUGGAGAAGAGCUAGUGAUUUGGGAAUGGUAACUGCAAUUGGAGUUGGUGAUAUAUUCAAUGCGGGUCGAAAUUCUUUGGUUGUGGUUAAUGGGGAAGGCUGGUGUUACAUUUUUGAUUUCCUCACGGAUACGUGCAGCGACGGUGAACUUCCCAUGAAACCGACUCACGUACAACGAAUUCCGGCUAAUACCAAAGUCCUUCUCCUGCAUGAUGUGAAUUCAGACGGAAUGAUUGAACUUGUGAUUGGAUUGACGGACCGAGUUGUCCGCACGUAUCAGUGGAUUAAUACAAAACUGGUUGGUCUCAACAAAUGGGAGUUCGCUAAUCAAAUUGGUACUGUGGGUAUAAAUGACAUGGCCAACCGCACCCCUUCACUUCUAGUUGCCCAUCCGGGAGGUACGUUUAUUCGGUUGAAAUGUAAGCCUUUAGAAAAUUGUGAAGAUCAUGGAAAAGAAGAACCAAGGGAGUUAUUAUCUAAAAUGUCAAUUGAUUAUCAUCCACUUGCAUACUCACAUAUGCGCAAUCCAAAUGUAUCAACGGAAAUAUUAGGGAACAUAUCACAGGGAAUAUCGCAUCAAGAUGAAAAUAAGGGAGCCCUGUAUGCCGUUGCUACACUUGACGGAACCUUGAUGAUGAUAAGGCACAUAAAGUUUGAGAACGCGCGAGGGAACCAUUUGAAAAAGGUCGUUACAAGUUGAUCAUCAGUUAUUUGCUCUAUCGAAACUAGACAUAACAGGCGAUGGCCGGGAAGAAGUGGUCGCCUGUUCAUGGGAUGGACAAACAUACAUUGUAAACCAAGAGAAGCAAACUGUUCGGUUCCAAUUUGAUCAAUCCGUUUCAGCCUUCACCGCAGGUUAUUAUUCCUUAAAUUCCCAAUCGUCUUCCCUCCCCGCUUUUGCUUACGCAACGUUCCAC
Molecule: unclassified non-coding RNA, 1213 nt
Filed under: Daphnia pulex (common water flea)
Lineage: Eukaryota; Metazoa; Arthropoda; Branchiopoda; Diplostraca; Daphniidae
Description: kICSTOR complex protein ITFG2-like, transcript variant X1
Source: RNAcentral